This 253-nucleotide ribosomal RNA is filed under the name uncultured bacterium. RNAcentral's name for it is "partial 16S ribosomal RNA". It matches the Rfam family "Bacterial small subunit ribosomal RNA", at positions 524 to 776 of the family's 1533-position model. The record is from RNAcentral.
GACGGGGGGUCCUAGCGUUGUUCGGAAUCAUUGGGCGUAAAGCGUGUGCAGGUGGUUUAGAAAGUUGGAUGUGAAAUCCUUGGGCUUAACCCAAGACGUGCAUUCAAAACUUCUAAACUUGAAUAUGGAAGAGGGUCGUGGAAUUCCAGGUGUAGUGGUGAAAUACGUAGAUAUCUGGAGGAACACCGGUGGCGAAGGCGGCGACCUGGUCCAAUAUUGACACUCAUACACGAAAGCGUGGGGAUCAAACAGG